Xyrichtys novacula (pearly razorfish) is the source of this 15286-nucleotide non-coding RNA. NCBI's taxonomy places the organism in Eukaryota, Metazoa, Chordata, Actinopteri, Labriformes, Labridae. The record is from the annotation of a GenBank genome assembly.
CUUCAGCUCACACUCUGCUUGUAAUUACUGCCUGAUUUAUGGACUUCAGCUCAUUACAGAGUCUCUGCCGGGGUUUCCCUUAUACAGGCGUAACUCCAAAACACAGUUCUCAUCAUCUUCAAACCUCAGAAAAUCCAGAUUUGGAGUCUACACCACCACGCAGAAACAGUUUCUUUGAGAUCACACCCUCGUAUAAUUAAGCAGCAUGUUUGUACACCUCUAAUGAUUCACAUAUUUAGACCAAAAACCCUGAUAGAUCAUUACUUCACCAACACGACUCUCAUUAAAGGAACUUUUUAUUUACAGCACAGACUAUUUAAACCCUGAGAAAGUCCAUGUGUGUUUAUAAUUUCAGAUUUCUACAUGUGAUGGCGUUCUCUACGCUCUGCUGCAUCCUUUAAAAAGUUUUUACUCAGUUCAGUCGUUCAGCAGGAUUAACGAAGAAGAUAAUUGACUGAUAAAAUAAACACCGUCAGUCUGCAAACAGGUCACAAUCAGCCCCGCAGCAGUCUGUCAGUCUGGGAAAUCUCUCUGCAGUGACUUUUCUUGAGUCUGUAUCCAAAAACGGGGUAAAAAGUUCAGGUUCAAGUAUCUCUGCAGGACACAACACCUGCAGCCAGUUAGUUUACACUGAGACCAUGGAUGUAAUAUGUGGGGGGGACACGGGGGACAUGUCCUGACCUGACAUUUUCAAAAGCCUGUUUUGGUCCCCCCUGGUCCACAAGGUCCUUGAUCUUUAAGUAUGGGUUCAGCUCACGUAUGGUGACCAUAUUCUGAACCCUGGAGUCAUCGAGUUGCAAGAAGUUAAUUUUGAGUUUUUUACACACUUCUAACUCAGUAAGUCGACACGACACAAAGUCAAAACUUCGAUACAAAACCUCGGAUAUUUGAGGGAUUUUACAAACUCCCCUGGACAAAGCCGGAAGAGGACGGUGGACAUGUCCGGGUAAAAGAGGACCCGUGGUCACCUUAGCUCAGGCUCAAAGUUUGGCUCAAGUGUGGAGGUGAAAGCAGAAAGGUGCUGUCUUAAGGGCCUGUUUCCACUGAUGGUGUUUUCUUUCUGUUAAAGCUCUCAUGACCAAACCAAAAAAAGAAACAGUUUCUCCCCUCGUAAACCUCUGCAGCUGUUAACAAUCAGACACUGAAGAAAAAUGUGCAGCGAGCACAAAAAAAUGCGUUUAGUGGACACGGGCCCUAACUCUGAUAUAUCGGAUUUCUAAACUUACAGGAGAGCAAAAUAGAAAAAUGUUAAAACUGUUCAAAACUCACAUAUAAUGCAUAAAAGCUGCUCAUACAUUUAAAAUUAACACUGCGCUUUUAUUUCUGCUAUAAAGCACUCAUGCUAACCUGCUCAAAGUCUUCUCUCUAUGCUCUCACUUUUGUGUGUCAAGAUCUUUUAUCAUGUUUGCAUGAAGGUUGAUUUCGUGUUCGAGGUUCUCACAGAAAACUUCAGAUUUAAACACAUUAAAUUAAAGAUUUUUGAGCAGAAAUCAGACGAAACGAAGAAAACAACCGAACGCAUCACUGAUGUUUUCUGCUCCAAACUCAGAGACACUCGUUUUCACUCAGACGUGCAGUAAAUAUUGAGUAUUGUAGGAUUACUGUAUGUUUACACUCACAGACUCAUAUUUGGAUGGUUGUGUACACAUUCUGACAUUUUUGGGAUUUUUAACUUAAGUGUUUCGGUUACACUUGGUCUGUUAAAGUCAUCCGAGGAUCAUGUUUACAUGGGUGUUUCUUCUUCAGAGUCUUAGCUGAUGUCAAAAUAAAGAUGUCCCUGUAAACACAGACGGUGAUUAGUAAUACACACACUGUCACAAAGCUACACACACACACACACACACGCACACACACACUCAAGUCUCAGUCAGACUGUCGGAGAGUCUGCAGAGAUUAUGUAACCAGAGUAACAAAAGAUGGAUGCGGUUGGCAGAAAAACACAAAGUCCAUCAUUCCUGCUCGGCUCGUAAUCCAAUCCCAUCUCCUUAAAAACCAUUACCAGCACAAAAACAGAGCGGGACCUCUCACUGCAGGCAUGACACGUCUGAUCUGAGCCGGGUUUGUUAUAUAAGGUCAACCGCAUGUGGAAAAAAUACAGUCCUCAGAGGAGAGGAGCAGGUUUAACUGUGUCACUUACAUGUAUGCCACUUCAUUAAACUGAAACCCCCUCUAACUCGUAUAUAUCAUAAAUCUGCGGGAUCCAGUGCGUCACUUUGGUUUACCUCAACCUAACUCCAUAAGUGCUGGCCUACAUAUCUGAAAUCUUGACAUAUCUGUGAAUCGGGUCUACAGUUGGCAGUCUGGGGUCCGAACAGCUCUGCACAAUAAUGGAUCUGAGCGGUAAGAGGGGCACCGCUUAAGUCUUGAUUUUCACCCUGAGCUGGUUUUUUAGAAGCUGAGCGAUGCAGAUUUAUAAACACCCCUGAUUAUCAGACGACCCCUUUUAUAAAGAUGAUUGGACUUCACUUUUGUCCCCUUGAAGCAGACGCUCUUAAAACCACAGUGGUAUUUUUUAUCUGUUAGUAUUUUAAUGUCUUUUUAAGAUUCAGUUUUUGGUCUUUAUUCAGAGGACAGUGAACAGACGACAUAAAGGAAAGGGCUGCAGGUUGAAAUUAAACCACUGAGCUAAUGACGCCUCAAACCCCAAAUUUCCAUCGCAUCUGGCACAGCUCCGCAAUUUUUCAUCGUCCACCAAUUUCUACUGAAUCCAUUUGUGAGGCGAAUUUCAUGGUGGAUUACAGACGGCAGGAAUCGCGAGAACUCACAAGAACCCGCGGAUUCACAUGCAAUAUUGCAAUAACGAGUCGUCUCUCUAAAGACAGACACAUAGACAUAUAAGCAGUAGAUUGUGUCCUUCCAGAGGAGGAAAUCUACUUCUAGACUUCUAGAAUCAGCAUCUCCUCAUCCAUGGUGUCAUCGGGGUGAAAUGACGUCUAAAAACCUUUCACUUGUUCGUCUCCGCCCGUUUGCAUGGUGUGAAAUACGAUCCUCCUGAAACACGGAGUGUUUUAUUUUGAAAAGAAGCCGGAUGUUUUAUUUUGUGUCUGUGCCCGACUUCCUUUCCAACACGGGUUAAUCUGUGCUGAAUUUAUCCGCCAUGCUCCGGUGUCCGGAAAAAAUAGAACUCUAGUGAUCAGCUGAGGAGGAACGGAAAGAAGUCGAUAAAAUUUGAUGCAAUAACUUCAGUGGAACUGAUCAGCUGCGAUCGGCAGAAGCAACGUGAAAAAGCAACGCGGAAAUCCGAAAUAUUCAGCUUACGCCUUUUCCUAUACCCACCUGGUGCAACUGGAAUAAAACUUGCAUAUCGUCACCCUAUUAAAAUAAUGGCCUUUGUCGUUUUUUGACAAAAAUGCUCUUUAGUACCAGUACGAAAGCUUUAUUAGCCAAUCAGAGGCAGACAGGUAUGAUGAUUUGGAUCGCCACGACUCCAGAAACGAUUGAAAAACUACAGAAUGUUACAAAAUGGCGUAUCGAAAUGCGCAGCAGCAUCGUCGGCUUGGAAGGUUCAAAUGUGUACAUGCUGUCCCAGUUUAAAUGGGUUAAAUACAGCCCAUGUCUGUGUCACCUGAUGUGUGAUGAUCUUCUCUCUUAUUAAAGUCAAAUUGAUGUUAAAAAAAAUAAACUGUUUUUUUUUCCCGUGGAUUUUUAAAGGACUUCAGAACAACAGCAGUGACCCAAAAAAGAGUCAGAUUUCCUCUUUAACAUCACUUCACAUCCUCCGUCUAUUUCUGUUCUCAGCGGAUGUCAGCUGUGCUGCGUUUGCAACUUUCUGUCAGGCCGUCAAACCUCCUGCUCUGCAAGAGUUUGACCUCUGACCUCUGGCUGCAGGUCCGAACAGCACGAGUUCAGCGCACCUGCCCGCCACACACCUUCAUUUACGGGACGCACAGACCCCCACACCAAAAUAUCUCUGCCGACGGUCUCUUAGCGUGCGAAUGAAUUCCCCCUGAAAGUGAUCUGCUUGAAAGACCCUGAGGAAUUUUAAUAGUGUUGUAAAAUAUUCAAGGAGGGUUUUUCCUUCAGAAAUCGGACCCCGGCUAAUAAACCUGCAGCCAUGUUUAACGCCGCCAGCUGGAGAAACCUCCUCGGAGCUCCUCCCGUGUGUUUAUGCAGCAGCUUUCAUCUGCAUCACAAUACAGAUGUGGAGAGAAAUAUUUACAGCCGCUCUCAGAGUGUUUGUGCUGAAACUUCCUCAAAACAGAUUAGGCGAAUCCGGGAAAACAGACCUGCUCUACAAAUGAAGCAGAACAGUGUGACAGUUUGUGAAACUUUGGAAAUCAUUAGGGGUCAUUUCUGCGUUUGACUUAGGAUUAGUAGCUCUGCAACAGCCGAACACUUUCACGUCUUUCCUCGUGUUAGGUUUAAAACCUGCUUGCAUUUACCUGAAAUAAAAAGGAGAAAGACAAUGAAUAAGUUUGAGUAAUGGACAGAGAUAUGUUUUGGAUAUCUCAGUACCACACUGAGGGUUCUUUUUCUGUCUUUUAUUGCUCUUUUAUUUAGUCCCUGGUUACAUAAUGUUUCUAAAGGGGUGGUAGAUGGUGCAGCAAAGUAAACAUUCUCAUAAAGCAUAAUAAUGAACAUUUGUGAAUAUGUGAAGGUCAAGGCGGCAUCUAAUGAGCUCCUUCUGAUAACAGCGGCACCUCCUCAAAAACUCCCCACGAUUCACAGCGGAGGAUCCAUCACUCACACACCCCCACCUGCUGAUAGGAAAGACCCAGUCACAGAAAACUGAAAGAACAUUGUUGUGCUGUGUAGUAAAUCUAUUGGAGAGAGAAGUUAGGAAACACUCUUAUAUAAUGUAUAAAAAGAGGUCAAAACAGUUUAUACUUGUAGUCAACUCUUACAUAAGAAUAUGAGGAAUAAUGAUAACUUCUAUAUACAUUUAUGCACAUUAUUCUAACACCUCGCUACAGUUUGCAAAGACACCAAAGUUUAACUACGUCUUUUUAAUGCAUAAACAUAAACUAAAAGAUGCUGUUUUUGUUGUUCUGCACCUUAAAUUGCUUCAUGAGUUUAAAAUUGGGGGUUCGGGCUUCAAUAAAACGUAAAAACUGCUCGAUCACAUGUCUUGCACAGGAGUUUCUCAUGGUUUUGUUUGAGUAAUCAAAAUUAUCACAGCGUAUUGACUCCGAUUGGAUAUUUUGUGCAUGCACUCCUGCAUAUUGGUUUAAUGUGUAACAGCGUCCCUCACUCGUGGACAAGACCCCGAGAUAGUUGAACUCCUCGCAUGAGUAGCGGGGUCAGCAGUGAUGCGAACGCUUAACCGAUCUGUCGUGGUGAAGAAAGAGCUGAGCCGUAAGGAGAGACUCUGGAUUUACCGGUCGAUCUACGUGCCGAUCCUCACCUAUGGUCAUGAACUUUGGGUAAUGACCGAAAGAACAAGAUCGCAGAUACAAGUGGCUGAAAUGGGUUUCCUCCUCAGGGUGUCCGGGCUCAGCCUUAGAGAUAGGGUAAGGAGCUCGGACACUCGGGAGGAGCUCAGAGAAGAACCGCUGCUCCUCCACGUCGAGAGGAGUCAGAUGAGGUGGCUCGGGCAUCUGGUUAGGAUCCCGUUAGCCUCCCUCGUAAGAAAGCUAAUUAUGAUAUUAUCUUUAACUCCUAUGUUACCUGCUUCUUCUUCUACACCGGUAAUGUUAGGCUGCAGGCUCGCGUGAAGAGGAGUGUGCAGAACGGCGCUGUCUCCGCCCACGACUCAGAGACGAACUGUUAAUGAGCGACUGGAGCUCUGCAGAAGAAAACGACACAGGUCAUGUGAUUUUUGGCAAAAACUUCACAAUCACAAUUUAAAGGCCUCAGAAAACACUUUAAGUGGUUAAAAAAAACAACAGCUGGCUCGGCCCCUGAGUCCAGUCGCUCUGUGAAGGAUCUUUAAUUACUGAUUCUGGAUUAUUGUUUGCAGCUACUACAGUUAGCAGGAAAGCAAAACCGGUCGGAUAGAGACCAUGGAAAUGCAAUCUACUAACCCGUCAGGAGUGAUUGAACAAACAGACAUCUGCAUUCAACUGGAAGUCGCCCACUCACGCUCAGAGGCUUCGAUUACCCUCCAAGUCUGCAAAACAAAAACAAACGUCUAAACUUUGACGUGGUGCAGAUCCUCUACAUGCAAAUUUAAGAGCGUGAUUAAUAUAAUAAAACUGCUAAACAUGAUCGUGUUAAAUCUCCAUCCUGAGCACGCAGGUAUAAGUGUGUCAAAACCCUCCUCAUGCACGAGGACGGCUUCCCGGGCGGAUCUCCAUCUUUUUAUUUGUGCAAACUUCAAAUGCACUCGCAGAAAAGCAGCUGCUGUUUCUCCUCGCGUGGACUCACACACUCUUCUGCUGCACUCCUCUUUCAAACAAUAACACCAGAGUUGUUCACACUCUCCGUUUGCCAAACACACACACACACACACACACAGAUCUUAUUACUGGUGUGCUCUCAGACUCCUGCUGCACACGUUUAGCACGUCGCCCCUGAUGGAAAACUGCGCUCUUUCACAUCGUUAUUCCAUACUUUGGCUGCCUGGACCCCAAUAUCUUUCACCGCUGUGACAAUUGCCUUAACAGACGACCGCCGCAUGGCCACGAUGCAAGGAAUCCAGACAUUACCCAAUAUCCUGCGAGGGUCCGGAGGGAUACACGCCGCUCAUUAACAGACCUGCCAGUCCUGUGUGUGAUCGGCCGACAGGUCUGCGGUUUAAAUACAUGGGGGAGAUUUAUCAGACUGGACAUGAAUGACAUAAAGAGACAUGUGAAAGUUUGCCCUGAAGAGAGCGGAGGGGAAAAUCCACACGUACUCUUACACAGUUAUUAUGUCUGUGGCUGUCAGUGCAUGUCUGGAACUAAUUUGUGAUUAGAUGUUAUAAUAAAGUUUCAGUGCUCCAAAAACGAACCCUCGGCCAAAAACAAGAGGACCGCUCAGGUUUAAAACCGCUCAUUAUGUUCACUGCGCUCCGAUUUUCCAGCACACUCAAACGUAUUUCUGUCGAACUGUUACAAAGAAGAAAAAAAGUCUGAAAAAGACGAAAAGAAAAAAAAAAGUUCUUUCUCUGGGGACUUAACUAAAUCAGCCUUUAAAGGACUAAUCCGUCUUUUUCAGCCUGACUAAGGACAGUGUCUUUGUUUGCAAAAAUAGACUUUCAAACUCUCUGGGCCUGAUCCACUAAAGGUCAGAUCUCUGUGGGCCUAAUCUAAUCUAAUCUAAUCUAAUCUAAUCUAAUCUAGCCUCUAAAAUCUACAAGGAAGUGAUUAGGAAAAAAAAAGCUGUUAAGAUAGUAAACGAUCCUUCCUGUACAGAGAGUAGUUAUACUUCAUUCAGGCAGACGUUAUCAAGUCCCUAAGGCGAAUCGUAACCUCUUCAAAAACUCGUCUCGUUCGAUCUGCCUGUUAUGUUCGGCACACACCGCUGUUGUCCUCCCUCUUCUGCUGCCAAGAUGUUUUGUGUGUCUUUGUUGUGUGUCUGUUGCUGCUGUUUAACCUGUUUUUUGUACACAAUAAGACUAAAGGUAAUUUCACACCUGGACCGUUUUUUUCAUGCGAUUAUUUCAGACGUCAAUAUUUUUUUUGAACCCGUAUCCUGUCAAUACAAGCGUUCACAUCAGCGCAAUUUCCCGUCCUGCGAUAUUGCGGCAUUUAUUUUUUCAGAUCACGGUCAUCAUUUUUCUUAAGUUUCUCAUACUGUGUGUCCACUUCUGACCAAUCAGAUUUCAUGUUGUUGUGACGUCAGAUUCACCGGUAUAUCCAACAUGGCUGACCGGCUGAUUGUUUACGUGUCGGAGAACAGAGUGAUUUUUGAUAAAAGACACAAACAUUACAAAGAUAACGACCUGAAGGACGACUUGUGGAGAGUCAUAGCGUCAGAUUUCUCACAUGACGAAUUGUGAAUCAUAACCUGCAGUGUGAAUGAAGCCUAAUAGCACAAGAAAUUUUUUAGUUUGUGCGUGCAAUUUAGCGCUCGCUAUUUGGGAUCUUAGUAGAUCAGGCCCUUUAUCUGCAGGAUUACUGCAAACACAUUUGUACACACACACACACCCACCCAUACACACACACACAGUACAGUAUACAGGUGUGUGUUUGCAUGCAUGUGUGUGUUUAGGAAUGUAAGCCAGAGAGCAGAUACCCCCCACUCUCCGCCCUGAUGUCUGAGCCAGCUGGCCGACCCUCUUCACUCCCUCCACCUCACACCGCUAACCCUCUGCCCUUUCACCUUUACCCCCUCACACACACACACACACACACACACACAGACCCCAGAGGACUCGUACUGGAACUGGGUUAUCUCUGGGUGGUGGUGGUGUUGGUGGUGUGGACGGUUUCCAGGAAUCACAAUCGUCCCGUCCCUGCCCUCUUAUCCUUCACUGAUUUUCCAGUUUUCACAGCCCGGCUCUGGAAAGUGUGAGUAAGCGUUUCCUGUGGAAAACUAUAUUUUCAACGCUGUAAUUUGGCGUCUGCAGCCGCGCUCCUGCGAACAGAAACAGUAAGUGGAGAUGUGUGAAGAGAAGGAAAAACGCUGCGUCAACUUCAGGGUGACAGAUCUGAGUUUAACUCCCCACUAAAAGGAGCUGAUCGUGUGUAUCCGGGGGGGGUGUAGGUCAGGGUCCCUACAGCUCAGGGUCAAAGGUCAGUGUUGUGAGGAUGGUGCACGAGGUCUGCACAAUAAAAGAGAUAUUUAUGGAGCCGUUAGCCUGAGUCAGGGAUUAACUCGCAGCUUAGAGGCAUCAUUAGGACCCACACUGCAAAAACAGCCCAACUAGAGAGAAGCAAAAUAUUCUUAAAUUCAAUCAAAUAAUCCUGUAUCAGGCAGAAAAUCUAACAAUGCAGAUUUCUUGGUCCUGACAAACUCAAAUUAAACUUAAAACUAGACAGAAAAUCUUAAAUUAAUCAAAUUUUUUCUACAGCGAGAAAUUAAAGUUACUUAAAAUUAGAAUUUUAGUCUCUUGAAUAAAAGAACUUCAAGAAAAUACACGUUAGUUAGAAGUAAUAUCAUAUGAAGAAAUGUUAGCUAGAAUUAAAAAUGAAAGUGAGAACUUUAAGAAGUCCUGGGAGUGUUUACUGGUGCAAAACUGUGAUGAUACGUAAUCAAAAUGAAUCCUACAGCAAAUGUUUAAUAUUAAUAUGAAUAUGACUCUUUUAUCUUAAGGUAAAAAUACAUCACAGGCCUUUUGUGUUUUAUUAUUAUUUAUUUUUUUUUUUUUUUGGGGGGGGGGGGGUGUUUUUGUUUUUUUUUCCUUCUGUUGAUUUGUAUAUUUUGUAAAACUACAUUGGCUAUACUGUCUGUAUGCUGUUCUUCAGAAGGAAAAAUAAAAACUUGAAUAACAAAAAAAGAAAAUGCACCUUAAUCUAGGAUAAUUAAUGAGCAUGACGGUACUUCAAAUAAGACAUCAUUUCUUAAAACAGCAAAUAUAAGUGACGUUGUCUUAAAUCAAGAAACCAAAACAUUCUCAUUAAAUAUCUAUUUUUUAUUCCACAAGCAAGCCCCAUCUUUGUUGUUCUUUGUUGGUCUUUGUUGUUGUUUGUUGUUUUGCGGUUUUCAUCUGGUCAUUGUAUUAUGUUGUCUGUUGUACAGAUUAACCUCCUGACAUCUUUAAAUGUCAGAUAAUGUUUGAGGCUGUCAGGUUCAGACGACCUGAAGUGGAAAUCUUAGUUUAUAAAAAAAAUCAACUGUUCUUAUUUCAUGGCGUUCUUAAAUCUUAAAGUCGUACAUUUGUCUAAAGGUCCUUUCUUGCGCGAUAUUUAGUGCAUGAGGGUCUGCAGAGUCAGACAGAAGAUAAAACAGUUUCAUUCUUAAAUCCUCUCGCUGCAGAAAAACAACCACCUAAAAACUAGGUUGCGUUCGAGGACGCUGAAAACACAAACUCAUAAAUCAAACGAGGACUCUCAGGGAUUUUCUCGCUCAGCUGCUGUUCAAAGCAAACACACAGAUCAUGAUUCAGCUCUGACUGACUGAUUUAUUGCGCCGUCGUCCUUCCCUGCUCCUCUGUUGACGGUCACAUCCCCUCUGUCACUUCCCUACCAGCUCGGUUCACGUGCACGCCUCAUCUCGUGUCUGUGCUGCAUCAUUUUUGAGGACCCGCGCCGCCAACCCACCAGACCAGUGCUGGGAAUGUGCGGCAGCCGUGUUUGCAUAUGCAUACCUGACUGACAGUAUAUCUCCGGCCUUGUGGAGUUUGUGCAGAAAAUGUAACAUUUAGAAGUUGGUUCUCUCUCUGCUAAAACUGCAGACCUUAAACACAGUCACUCCAAAGACCGUGGGACUUGAAUCAAAGUGGAAAAUCCUGCAGGAACGCCUCAACCUUCUGCACAGCCCCUCCGCUGAGACGAAGUGGAGCUGUGAGAGUUUCACACCCCGGUACUUCCAGGAAUGUCCAUCACCCAGUUUCACCUUAUCACUGACACAUGAACACACCAGACGGCAAAUGAAGCAGACAGCGCCUCCUGACAACCCAAAAUAAAGAGGCACGUGAGGGCAGCAGGUGUAAACCGUCCUCCUGUUGCUCCUCUCAGGCGCCAGGAGGAUCCGCUCAGAUAAUCUCAGCUCUCUGUAAACGCUUCUUACAGAGCGAGGAGCAGGACUGAUUGAAAGCUUUGUUUUGUUUUAUCACCUUCACCACUUCAUCUGUCCUAACAAACACAAACACACACAGCUACAGUAAAUAACUCUGAUGGUUAAUGAGCGCUAAUUGUGACUUUCCCGUCAGCGUUGUUUCCAGUAAACACAGAUUCACACGUGCUCCGAGGCUCUCACAGAUUCUCUCCAGGACAUGUUUACUAUCUGCAGAGACGUUUCCACUGCAUGUUCUGUCACAUCCCUCACCUCGGCUCACCUCCUCCUCCUCCUCCUCCUCGCUGCAUUCAACCAAAGAGUCCAAAACACUAAUUAAGAGAAUAAUCCGUCACUAACAGACGGUGGGGUGGAGGUAUCCACCUGAACGUGAGUGACAACGUCAGAAUGAAAGGCUGUUAUUUCAGGUGAAUCUCAACGACGUCAUGCGCUUUAAUUUAGACUCUUCUUCGUGUGACUUAACAGGACAAGACAGCGUGUCUGCUGACUUCAUCUCACGCUCCACAGCCGAGCUUUCUUUAAAUCACUCUCACGCUGCAGGAAGGAGAACUGGAGAUUCACCAGAGUGAUCAUGCAAACACACUUUCAACAACCCGAUUGUGAUUGGUUGAAAUGGGAUUGGUGCUGCGUUCAUGUGCGCCUCAGAUCGUCCCAGAGUCAGAUUUCCCCUCUGAGGAUCAUUAAGGAUUAUUUUAUCUUAAAGUCAUGGUUGACGAUUGGAGAGAUUGUUAAUUAUUAUGAGCCUUGUUUCUAUGGCGAUCAUGGUCCUAUAGUUCGAUCUCCACAAAGUGAAGAGAAAAAAGAACUGAAAAAAUCUGUUCACCCUGCAAAAACAUUGACCAAUGGGAGCCAUCCGUCCCGGACAGCUCCUAUUGGUCAAUCUCAUGCUCCGCCUCUCCAUCCAAUCACCUCGCUGUAUUCGACACACCCCUCUCCCGUAGUUCCGACUUGUCCCCUCCCACUCUCCUGGCCCUCCUCGGAGCUCUAAGCGGCUAAAAGUAGCGUAGCAGCUUCUGCUCGCCCCACCGCCAAACGUGGGAAAAAAACGCCAACAGAAGAAAGGGCGGAGUCGAAAAGGAAAUGUGACCAAGCGAGGAAUCUAACUGGAAUAACCAUCGGGUCAUCCUUAAGGGGUGGAGAAAGAUCCUAUUUGAAGCUAGCGUAGGAUCUUCUGCCAGAGGGGGUGUGUCGUGGGGAGGCCGAUACAGGUUCAGGGGGGAGUUAUCGUGGAGCACAGAGGGGAGAGGUUAGUGUGAGAAGCAGAGUCCUGUACUUUGGUCCAAGACUGUCCUACUUUACACCAACAAACCCUGCAGUCCCCAAACUAGGUCCCUCCAGAGCGAGCUCCAGCAGCCCCCGGCGUGUUGACUGCAGCACUUACACAUUUACAUACGAGAGUUUUUCUUUGGAGUUCAGAGUCUAAUGAAAAUAAACUUUAGAAACGAAGGAGCACGGUUCAAUCCGUCCUACAUCACCAAAAGGUCAAAUAAAUAGACAAAUAAAUGAUGUGGUUUUUGUCUUUCCUCGUCUGCAAGUGAACCUGGAAACGUCACGGUCAGCGGGUGAUGAAGUUCGACUCUGACAGGUGUGAUUAGGUUGAUGAAUGCGGCCACACUGGGGGUCAAAUGGCCACAGGCUCACAGAAAGGAGGGAAAAAAUGACAGAAACUCCAACAGUUUGAAAAAUUCUGAUAAAAAAAUGAAAAAAAUCCACUUUUUUUCACCCCGAGUCUUUUGUUUUUCUGCUGACAUGGAACAAAUUCAGAGAUCUGGGUUGAUGUUGUUGGAGCUGAAGAUCGAAAUAACAGCAUCAUGAGUCAAGUUUCCAUGUUUUACCGCGGAGGGAAACAAAUCAGAGGACCGCUGAUGAAAAAUACAGAACGCAGGUUUAUUUUUGCAGCAUAUUUAUCUAGUGAGAAAGUACGUGAUUGGAGCCAGCAUGUUAGAUAACUGAUCCUGUAUUAGCUAAAAUUAACUCCAGUUAAUACAGAAGAAUGAGGUCACAACUGUGAGUAUCUGAUCUGAAGCAGCGAAAUGAGACCAUGUUUGAAUUUCAUCAACAUAAACGUCAUCAAAACUUUCAGGCGUAAGAAAUAUGAAGGUCGAAGGAAAGUUCACGAGCAUGUCGAGUGUUACCGAAGAGUUCGCAGCCUGAACUCUCCUCGUCUCUGUCGGUAUGAGGAGCAGUGUGACAACAUACCGGGUCUCACCGAGGUGAUAAAGGUCUAACUCAUGCCUCAGAGUCUGAAAGCUUCACCUGCAGCACAUUCUGUCCUCUGAGGCUGUUUUUCAGGAUGACCUUCCAUCACGCCGCUCAGACAGAGAGAACAAAACUGACUCAAGCCUGUUUUAACAUCAUGAGUUAUAUAGCCUGUUAUGAAACCGCUCAGUGUGGAAUUUUUAUCAGAUCUAUUCGAUCAAUCAAAUUUCCAUCGUUAUUAGUCAGGCAGUGGCUUAAAAUAUCUGGAUUCAGUGAGUUGAUCUGAUGUAAAAACGUGGCCGGUGAAUAUCGCAGUUACAAGUAAGAAGCGAGGUCGCACAGUCAGCUCAGGGUUACGGUAGAAAAGUGGAAUUUUAAACAAAAGUCAGUAAAUUAUAAUGUUAUAUAAAAGGUCUGGGGCGAUUCGUCAGUGUAGCGGUGCAAAAAUCAUGUAUUGAUGCGUCACAUGAUGAUGUAGAAAAUGGCUACUUCAGGUAUCAGUGGAGGCAUGGACGGUAAACGAGCUCCACCUAAUGAGGUCGAUUUAAAACCUACUUUAACGGGAUCGAUGAGCAGCUCCUCUAAAUCAGUGCAUGUGUUCUUCCUGGCUUCCUUGUUCCUUGUUCACAUUUUCAAGAUGGCGCUGCUUCAUUCAAGGAGACAUGCAGUGACCGGUCAAUCAAAUAACCCACCGCUGGUGCAGCGAAUGCCACAGUGGACGCUGCAUCAUACGUCCUGCAUCCCGUAUCUAAUUUAUUCACUUAAAGCAGUUAGCUCAGAGUUGAAGCAUCAGUUUUGUGCUUUUAUUUGUCCGAUAACUCAGUAAUUAAUCAGCCGUGUGAUCGCCAAAGAUAGCUCGCUAAUGCUAACACUCAGCGCACGUGAGCUCCGCUGCACAUAUGUAUACUGAUACACGAGUCUGAGAUAGAGCAACGCAAGGAAAAAACUUUAAAGUGUGGCGGCUUUUAUUUAAUCGUGGCGGUGUGCCAUGAUCGACUGCAUAUCGGGGAAACAAGAACAUAACAGGCUGGUCACCUGAAAAUGGUAAACUGCGGUUCACAGUGUGUCGCCCAGCACUAAGUGAAGGCUUUUAGCUGAGUGUUACUUACAGCUGACUUCAGAUAAGCUAAAAAGUGCGUUAUGAAUUUUAAAAAAACGUUGAUAAAAAUUAACUGUCUUUGUUUUAAUUUCAAGAGAAUCAUGAAUAAAUCACUGAAUUAAAUACCACUACUAUCGCUAGAUUAAUCAAUAAAAAAAUAAUCAUUAGGUGCAGCCCUAUUAAAAUUUUAUCAUUAAACUGAGAAGCUGAUUAAGACACGUAAACAACCAAAAAGUUCGCUAGAAGUUACGAACAAAUACCUGAAACAGAAGCUUGGCGAACUUUAGCGGCGCAAUGUUUUUAACAGAAAGUUAGCUUAAUGUUGUCAAAUUUCGCUCUGUCUUCUGCCUUAAAAUAUAACACAAAGAUAUAAUACAUAUUACAAUAAAAUGCUUAAAAGUCUCACAAACAAGCUACAUUCUUAAGUUAGCUAGCUACAUUUUAGCGUUAGCUUGAAAUUAGCCUUGCUGAAAUUCUUGCCGUUAGCUAGCUGGUGGUCUGGUAAGCUGAAUGGAAUUAGCUAAAAUAAAGAGGGUAUCAAUCUGACAACAACAGCUGGAGGACUUCAGAGUUAGUUCCUAAAAAGGAGACGUGAGAGCGAAUCAGGCGCGAGCUAAUGUAGCAUGAUGCUGUUAUCUCUUUAGCGCUCCUUUGAUCUACUCGUCGUUAAAGAUCGAGAUAAAACGGCUAUAAAAAGAAACAACAUAAAGACAUUAUUAUCCUCUGAGUUUUGACAGGUGGCCGUUCGUCUUUUUUAUGUCAUAGGUUGUGUAACUGUUUCUCAGGUUAGUUACACAACUGACCUGGCUCGCCGUCAGCUAGCACAUUAAUAUUCGUCCGUGAUGGACGCCAAAGAUAGCUGCACAGAGGAACAUGAGGACCGCGCAGGCAUGCCGUCUGUUCAGAUGCUUCUCCGGGGUUUUCUCAGGGUGUGUGCUGAAGGUUCAAGAGGUGUUGGUUUUACCUUCAGGGAUCAGUCUUCAGAGAUUUUAUCAGAGAAACAGAGUGACAGCCAGCUGAUGUUUUGACGUGAUGAUGAUGAGGAUGAUUCUGCUCUUCCCUGAAGACAUGUUUGUGUUUUCAGAAAGACGUCGAAGCAGCAUUUUCAGUCCUGCUGAGCAAACCGAGACUGUGCGGUUAUUCCAGGAUAACUUUAUUACUCUGUAGAGGUAACCUCCAGUCUUUAGAAACAAAGCUGAUACUGAAACGCUGUAAACUCUAGUUCCUCAAGUGUCCACUCGGGGUAGUCAAAUACACAUCCAUUUAGAAAAGCCCAUUUCUACAACAAAAAGAAACAUGUUUACAUACACAUACUGUACAGAUGGUGAAUUUUUUAGGACUCUGGUUUUAAUGAUGUUCAGGUUCUGCAUGAAGAGGGGCGUGUCUGACCUGACUCUCAGGUGGGCUCGCUGUAAUUACCAGGAAAGUGGCUGACCCCCAAUUUCAACC